Molecule: long non-coding RNA, 1973 nt
Organism: Papaver somniferum (opium poppy)
Lineage: Eukaryota; Viridiplantae; Streptophyta; Magnoliopsida; Ranunculales; Papaveraceae
Exons: 3
Source: RefSeq, a predicted model, not a curated record
UGAAAGAGAGAGAUCCAGCUGCAAACUCAUAUCGUGAAGAAAAAAUUGGAACUUUUUUGGUUCAAUCUACGAUUUCCCGAUCUUGAAAUUCUUCUUUUCCUUCGUCUUCUUCUUUCCCGAUCUUGAAAUUCUUCUUCUCCUCCGUCUUCUUUUUCAUCUGUGCAGGAUUAAUAAACUAAUCAACAGAAUCGGAGAUUUAAGCUCCAUUUAACUGAAAUUAUUUUUAAUCAACAGAAACCAUUACAUCUGUUUUUCCGAAACAAAUUAAUGUUAUGUUUAUUUGAAGAUUCAUAAAGUGUUUUUUGAUGAUUGCAUGUUCGUUUCAUAGAUUUUAUGUUCAAUUUUUGUUUUCAGUGUUUUGUUUUUUGUUGUUGUUGUAGAGAUCGUGAUUUAUGUGGGAAGAUUGAUUUCGUGAUUAUUCCGUUAGAUUUGAUUGGUUGUUGAUAUAGUUUGAUCUCGAGAUCCUUAUUCAUCUCUUAAACAGGCCAAAGAUGGUUGUUGCAGAGUUCAAAUUUUGCAAUCAGACCGUCUCAUAUCCUGUUUCAGGAUCAGCUACUGUCAAGGAGAUGAUAAGUGUGGUGAAACAAAAGUGUCCUUAUGUUCCUGAAGACCUCAUACUUUUUGGUUACACUGUAGAUGGGAUUUCAAAUGUCAUCAAUUACGAUUUGGAUUUGAGGUUUUUCUUUCACUAAUGCAGCUCACAAGGGAUUGACUUGUUGAAGUUUGAAAUCCAGUUAAGGACUUGUAUUGAUUCUAUUUCUUCAUCAUCUUCUUUUGCUCCUGCUUCUUCGUGAUCAUCAAGUUAUAUUUCAAGCGAUGAGGUAGUUGUUGUGGAAGAUGUCACUGAUGAUGCGUGUUUGAUCAAAAAGGUCAUGAAGAAGUCUGAUGCUUGGGUCAACAUCUUAACUGGAGUAGGGCAGUUGUUUGAAGGUGGUAAAAGUUAAGGACUCUGUUACAAAGUAUGAAAUAUGUAGUGGUCGCAAAUACAAAUUAGUUAAGAGUGACCUUGAACGAUACACUGUGGAGUGCAAGUUCAAAGAGAAGGAAAAUUGUCGCUGGAGGUUUCACGCCUCUCUCCUCGCCAACUCAAAUGGUGUAUUUCAAUGUUGGCUGGAGCUUGGAUGGCUGCGAUCACGAUCCUUGACAAGGACGAGUGAUGACUACAGGCACAAAUCUUGGUAGUUACGAGUGGUGGCUACGUCCAUGGAUCUUGAAAGGAAGGAGCGGCAGCUACGAGCACGAACCUUGGUCGACCACGACCAUGAAUAUUGACGGGCUUUAAUAAAUCACGCAUGCGAGUUUAUUCUCCCUUCUUUAAUUUCUUGGUGAAGCAGCUCUUCCAUGAUUUCCUGUGUGCGGAAACUCUCCUAUUGUUGUUUGCAUAAAUGCUCCAUCAUGAUAUGUACGGUUUCGUGGACGGAGUCCCCAGGAACUAUGAAACUCCUGACGGGGAGAGGGUCUCUGCGAACUCCCUCAGUGCCUAAUUGAAAUUCUCCUGCAUCUGUGGUAACGACAAUAUUUGGGGUUUUCCAUUUGUUCCUGAGUUGGUGGCCUGGUAGGAGGUAGUUUGAUGGCAUCAUCUUGAAUCCAUACUUCUAGGAGUUCAAUCACUUCGGUCGGGAACAGGAAGUUUGGAGCAGCAUCUCCAGUUUCUUGUUGUUGUGCAGAAAUCUUUAGCCGCGGCCUUUCGGGAUGAGACCGUCUGAUGCGCUGGUGCUGCACGUUUGAGUUGUUGUUCUGCAACUGGAGCUUUCCUCUCUCACCAUGCUUUCAGAGGGUUGAGUGUUGUAUUGUUUGUUGAUGAGACGUCUUUUUCCUCGAAUCUCACGUGUAUCUUCAUUCCUGGCGGGUCUGAUUCCUUCCAUCAAGGUUGGUGCUGUUGUAGCCAACCGCUUAACAGCUUCAUGAAGUUCAAAGAACGUCUGGAAGCGCAGGUUCUCCAGCAAAGCGCGAUGACAGGUUCCAUGAUAUUA